RNAcentral lists this long non-coding RNA (238 nucleotides) under Elaeis guineensis (African oil palm). RNAcentral describes it as "long non-coding RNA (EGUI_LNC043134)". The record is from RNAcentral. Lineage: Eukaryota; Viridiplantae; Streptophyta; Magnoliopsida; Arecales; Arecaceae.
GAAUGUCAGUUAUUUCAUUGAAAAAAAAGUAGUAUCUCUAAAACAUCUUGUAUCAAAGAACUUCACCGCAAUUUCCUUUUCUUAUAGAUAUUAAAAAGCUCUUAGGUUUCAUUUAAUUUCUAUAAGAUAUUGAUGUCCAGACCACACAAGAAUAACUCAUGUCGAAAGGAUACAUCCGUAGUGCUGGAGAGAGUCAUCUGCUUGGCUUCGGAGUAUUAUCGUUUCAACGCUGCUGGCC